This is a non-coding RNA of Macaca mulatta (Rhesus monkey), 561 nucleotides long. NCBI's taxonomy places the organism in Eukaryota, Metazoa, Chordata, Mammalia, Primates, Cercopithecidae. The record is from RefSeq and is a predicted model, not a curated record.
AUAUGUCCACAAUUGACCUUCUAUUCAACACUCAUUGAAUAUUUAUUUUAUUCACUCAUUCACUGUAUAAGAAUUAACUGAACACCUACUACCAUUCUGGAGAUUCAGUAGAGAACAAAACAGAAACUACCUACUAAUAUGGAAGCUUGAAAAUUAAUCUUCUGUAGAUGAUCUCUGAGUGGGCCAAGGCUGAGCUCCAGACUCCUGCGCUGCAUACCCUAAACCUACAAGACUGAGACCAGGUUCACAGUUUUGUCCUCUGGUCCUUCAAGGUCAAGUCCCAGAUGGGCUGGAGGGGCCAACAUGCUCCCAGACUACUGGCAAGAGCACACCAUGGGGAUGGCAGGAGAGCCAUGGGCAUAAGUGCUCCAGCAGAGGCAGUGGGGACACCACAGGGUGGACACUGCUAUGGAAUGAAACUUCUUCAAUUUGACAAGGGACAACUAUCAUCAGACUUAUAAGUGAACAACUUUCUACCUAAAGUGAGAAAUAAAGUCAGGAUGGCCACUCUGACCACUUCUAUUUGCUAUUCUUCUGGAUGCCCUAACCCAGUGAAAUAAA